CAGCCGCCACGGUAAUACGAAGGGUGCAAGCGUUAAUCGGAAUUACUGGGCGUAAAGCGUGCGUAGGCGGUGAGUUAAGUCUGCUGUGAAAUCCCCGGGCUCAACCUGGGAAUGGCAGUGGAUACUGGCUCGCUAGAGUGUGUCAGAGGAUGGUGGAAUUCCCGGUGUAGCGGUGAAAUGCGUAGAGAUCGGGAGGAACAUCAGUGGCGAAGGCGGCCAUCUGGGACAACGCUGACGCUGAGGCACGAAAGCGUGGGGAGCAAACAGGAUUAGAUACCCCCGUAGUCCCUGUCUCUUAUAC
RNAcentral lists this ribosomal RNA (301 nucleotides) under uncultured bacterium. RNAcentral describes it as "partial 16S ribosomal RNA". It matches the Rfam family "Bacterial small subunit ribosomal RNA", at positions 509 to 807 of the family's 1533-position model. The record is from RNAcentral.